RNAcentral lists this ribosomal RNA (405 nucleotides) under Triticum aestivum (bread wheat). Its description in RNAcentral is "partial small subunit ribosomal RNA". Lineage: Eukaryota; Viridiplantae; Streptophyta; Magnoliopsida; Poales; Poaceae. The record is from RNAcentral.
AUGGCUAGCACUACCAAGGCCGUGGUAAUCCUUAGCAUUGUUAUUGUCCUGCAGGUGUCCCGCAUCGCAGGGGUGGUUGGCGACAUCCCGGCGGUGAUGUCGGUGAACGGCUUUGAGAAAGGGGAGGAGGGCGGGCCUGCAAAGUGUGAUGGCCAGUACCACAACGACUCCCUCUUCCUGGUGGCGCUAACCACGCAGUGGUACCAACAGGGCCUCCGGUGUGGCAGGAUGAUCAACAUCAAGAGCUCGGAUGGGGCAAUCGGGCAGGCUAUGGUCGUGGACGAGUGCGACACCGAAAACGGCUGCCGCACCGACGAGAUCAGCACAUCCGCCGCGGUGUGGCAUGCUUUUGGACUCGAUACCAGCCUUGGCGAGGUGUUCGUCACAUGGUCGGAUGUACUCUGA